GUGUCAGCAGCCGCGGUAAUACGGAGGGUGCAAGCGUUGUUCGGAAUUAUUGGGCGUAAAGCGCGUGUAGGCGGUCGGGUAAGUCAGAUGUGAAGGCCUUCCGCUUAACGGGAGAAGUGCAUUUGAAACUGCUCGGCUGGAGUACGGGAGAGGAGAGUGGAAUUCCCGGUGUAGAGGUGAAAUUCGUAGAUAUCGGGAGGAACACCAGUGGCGAAGGCGGCUCUCUGGUCCGAUACUGACGCUGAGACGCGAAAGCGUGGGGAGCAAACAGGAUUAGAUACCCUGGUAGUCCACGCUGUAAACGAUGGGCACUAGGUGUAGGAGGUAUUGACCCCUUCUGUGCCGAAGCUAACGCAUUAAGUGCCCCGCCUGGGGAGUACGGCCGCAAGGCUAAAACUUAAAGGAAUUGGCGGGG
This 415-nucleotide ribosomal RNA is filed under the name uncultured prokaryote. Its description in RNAcentral is "bacterial SSU rRNA". It matches the Rfam family "Bacterial small subunit ribosomal RNA", at positions 505 to 918 of the family's 1533-position model. The record is from RNAcentral.